This 565-nucleotide ribosomal RNA is filed under the name Cyathus annulatus. RNAcentral describes it as "eukaryotic LSU rRNA". It matches the Rfam family "Eukaryotic large subunit ribosomal RNA", at positions 89 to 638 of the family's 3401-position model. Lineage: Eukaryota; Fungi; Basidiomycota; Agaricomycetes; Agaricales; Nidulariaceae. The record is from RNAcentral.
GCGAGUGAGCGGGAAAAGCUCAAAUUUAAAAUCUGGUGGUCUUUGGCCAUCCGAGUUGUAAUCUAGAGAAGUGUUACCCGCGUUGGACCGUGUACAAGUCUCCUGGAAUGGAGCGUCAUAGAGGGUGAGAAUCCCGUCUUUGACACGGACUACCAAGGCUUUGUGGUGCGCUCUCAACGAGUCGAGUUGUUUGGGAAUGCAGCUCAAAAUGGGUGGUAAAUUCCAUCUAAAGCUAAAUACAGGCGAGAGACCGAUAGCGAACAAGUACCGUGAGGGAAAGAUGAAAAGAACUUUGGAAAGAGAGUUAAACAGUACGUGAAAUUGCUGAAAGGGAAACGCUGGAAGUCAGUCGCGUUGGCUAGGAAUCAACCUUGCUUUUUGCAGGGCUUACUUCUUAGUUGACGGGCCAACAUCAAUUUUGAUUGCUGGAAAAAGGCCUAGGAAAUGUGGCACCUUCGGGUGUGUUAUAGUCCUGGGUUGUAUACAGUGAUUGGGAUUGAGGAACGCAGCACGCCGCAAGGGUGGGUUUCCACCACCCUCCUGGUUCCGAAGGUGGCAUUAUGGC